RNAcentral lists this long non-coding RNA (4767 nucleotides) under Homo sapiens (human). Its description in RNAcentral is "HSALNT0048854". Lineage: Eukaryota; Metazoa; Chordata; Mammalia; Primates; Hominidae. The record is from RNAcentral.
GUAGGGUCUGACCAAUGUGGAGCUGGAAUGAGGCUUAUCACGCAACUCACGUACUUCAGGACACUUCAAUGAACAUGGUCAGAGAGCACAACCACACGAAAGACCUUAGUGCGGGUUGAUGACAGCCCCUCAGGCUCUGCCUUUUAUUUUUUUAUUUUUAUUUUUUUAAAAUAACAACUGCUAGUCCAGACCACUUAUGCAGGUUAUUUUUUAGACUUAAGAUAUUUCGCUCUGUUAAGUUUUAAUCUUUUUGGUAUCUUGGUUUUUGUUGUUUCUUUGCUCGUGUCAUUCACUGUACUUUUUUCCCCCAGCUCCAAGCCAAUGAUAAAAAUGUCAAAUACACCCUGUCACAUAAUCAGGCAGUUUGGUCCACAAGGAGAUCACGGUAACAUCCAUUUUCCUAACCCAAUACCCUAUUGACCCUAACAGAGCACAAAUAAAGAAGCAGUUCAGAGUCAAAGGUGAGGCCCCAAAAGAGAAUGCUGAGAUCAUAAAGUUCUCACAAACCAUCUCUUUAAGUAAGAAUCCAUCAUAGGCUUUCCCCCAAGAUCAGCAUUGCAUUCAAUAGGUUAUAGCAUCCAUAUUUCCCUCCUUUUGAAAAUCUGCCCACCACUGAUCCUCUCUCACUACAUGCCAGUUCGCUACAACUACUUACCUAUGAGGGGUGAUUUUCAUGGCAGGCUCUCUUUGGACCCAAGGAAAUAAUCUGGCCAGGCCAGGAUACAAUUCAUUCAGCCCAACUAUGUGCUCACUGAUUUCUCUACUCUUGUUAGGCUUCGAUCCCUACUUAGCAAUGGCUGUUUUAUAUGUCACCAUUUAAUUCACUCUCACACAUAAGGGAUAAUUUCAGAGUUAAAGUUACCCUCACUAUAAAAAUUCAGCAGCCAAACAGACACUUGCAUUAACAAGUUGACUAUUUUUUUUCUUUUUAAUUUUCAUUACUGAAUGCUUAAGGCCUAAAUCAGAUCUUUAUUCUCCGGAAUACUAGUCAAACUCUAAAAGCAAUUUAAAAUUACCUUUUGGUUUGCAGUUCAAUGUUAGCUGCAUCCAUUUCAUUCAGUAAAUGACAUGGAACCCCAUAUCUUGGAUUAGCUCGAGCUGUGAACAAAAUUUUUCAUUAACUUGUGUUGGCUAAAUGAAAUCUGGUUGCUGGAAGAGGUAGCAUGAAGACUAGGAAGGACUGUCCUAGGAGCUAGGAAAGCUGCUACUAAUUAGCUGUGUGAAUACGAAUUUUCUCAGGAUCUCAGUUUUCCCAUCUGAAAAAUGAAAAAGUUAGAACAAAUGAAAAGUAAACAUUUCUUUAAGACAAGCUAGAAGAAUUCCAUUUUUUCAACUCUUUUAAGUAUACUUUUUAAAAAGAACACCCAGAUUUUCAUCUUUUUUUUUUCUUUUUCUUUUUCUUUUUUUUUUUGAGACGGAGUCUCACUUUGUCGCCCAGGCUGGAGUGCAGUGGCGCAAUCUUAGCUCACUCUGCCUCCCAGGUUCAAGCAAUUCUCGUGCCUCAGCCUCUGAGUAGCUGGGAUUACAGGCUCCUGCCACCACGCCUGGCUAAUUUUUGUAUUUUUAGCAGAGACAGGGUUUCGCCAUGUUGCCCAGGCUGGUUUUGAACUCCUGGCCUCAAGUGAUCUGCCCGCCUCAGCCUCCCAAAGUGCUGAGAUUAAAGGCAUAAGCCACCACGCCUGGCCUCAGAUUUUCAUCUUGAUUACAAAUACAAUAAAUGACUACUGUAAAAAUUCUGGAAUUUUUUUAAGUGUAAAAGAAAUAGAUACUGCUCAUAAUUUCACUCCCAAGACACACACACACACACACACACACAGGCACACACACAAACACACACAAUUUUAAAAACUGGGAUAAUAUUCAACAAAUCUAUUUUCAUUUCAUACACUGUAUUUUCCAAAGUCUUAAAUAAAUGAUUACAUAGUAGUCCAUUCUAUAAGGAGCAUAAUUAACCUAACCAAUCUUUUUCUGUUAGACAUUAAGGUGAUUUCCAAUUAAUCACUAUUUUAAAAUAGUAGGAACAAUAAACAUCUUUGAGCAUCAACAUUCAUAUACAGCUCUGAUUACUUUAAGACAAACUUGUGAAAGUAGAAUUACUGGUUUAAACGGUAUGACAGUUUCAAGGCUUUUAAAUACACAUACUCAAACUGAUUGUAUUCCAUACCUACCAGCUCUGGAGGAAAUGUCACCUGUUGAAACCCAAGAGUCACAGAAAUAGUAUCUGAUUUGGUGGGGCAUCUCACUAAUGUUCAUCUCAUUGCCAUUCUUCUUCUUCUUUUUGAUUACAGGUUAAAUUGAAAAUUUUUUGAAACACAGGAAUCUUCUUUUUGUAAAUUGCUUAUUUAUAUCAUUUCCCCAAUUUACUACUGAGCACAAUGAAAUAUAUGUAAGCGCACUCUACAGAUAGGGGAAAUUAAUUUGUCAUAUAUUUUACUGUUUUCCAUUAGCUUGUCAUUUGCCUUUUAAUUCUGUUUUAAGGGUUAUAUCACUUUGCCCUAGUUUUUUCUUUCUUUGCUUUUAGCAAAUUCUCCCUCAGUCUUCUCUUCUUCAGUUUUUAUUACUUUAUUUCUCCAGGUGAAUUUUAGAAUCAUUUUAUAAAUUCUAUCCCUUCAUUCCCAAAAAAGUACACCUAGAUUUUUUGUUGGAUCUUUGUUCAAUUCCUAAGCUAACAAGAAAACUGUCAUUUACAUAUUCCAAUUACGUACACACUAAAAUUCAAUUCUGUGAAAAAGACUAAUACUCCAUUUGAAGAUAUUCUUUUUCUGAUAGUAUAUAUUUCUAUAACUGUGAAUUCUGAUACACAAUAUUUUUACCAGAACCAUUUCCAUAUCUUUUUUUCCUCCCAGAAAAAUACAAAGCCUUUUUCAUUAACAGCAUAGUUAUGUAACUGUUUUAGAUCUGGAAAGUUAAUUUCCUUUGAUUCACAUGCAAAUUAGUAACUGCUUUAUUCUUAUUCUUCAUAAAAAUGAUGGUUAUUCUCAUUCUCUAAGAACAAUAUUCUCAUCUCUAAUAAUAGAUAUGUCUCAAUCUAUAAAGCUUUUCUCACUGGGGUUUUUAACUUUUGAGCGGACUUUGAGAAGUGAUCGAAAAAUCUUACUAGGCCUCAUGCCUGUAAUCCCAGUGAGGCAGGAGAAUAGGGUCUGGAGACAGGGAACCUAAGGCUGUUUCACACCGACUUCCUAGAACUAAAUUGAAAGGAACACCCUAACUUUCCAUUCCUAAGUAACACAAGGACCAGAGGCUACUUCCUUUGACCUUUUCUGCGCACACAUAGGAAAUUGGCUGACCCCAACGAAUCAGACAGUGGGUGGAGUCUUCGUUUGCAACUCUGUAACCAUUUCAGCCUCUGAAUGGUUGCUGUUGGCAACAAAUAAGACUGAGCAACAAAUCAGACUGAUUGCUGGUAGGGUCUUCGUUUGCAUCUUUGCAACUUCACUCCAGCCUCUGAAUGGGUGUUGCCUGCAGCCAAUCAGACUGAUUGCCAGCUAUGUCUUCGUUUGCAAAUAAGUGUAACGUUGUAACUUCAACCUAGCCUCUGAUUGGUUGCUUUCUGCAACCAAUCAGAUGUUUGCACAUGAUAGUGACCUUUGUAACUUCACUUCAGCCUCUGGUUGGCUGCUUUCUGCAACCAAUCAGACUGAUGGCGGGCUCCCAAUUCAUUUACAUGAGGUGAGCAUGAAGUGGCCAAUGGGAAACUUCUAGGGGAUAUUUGGACCGGAGAAGAUUCUGUAUCUGGGCCCUUGAGCUGCUGCUCAGGCUGCUUCCACACUGUGGAGUGUACUUUUGUUUUCCAUACAUCUCUGCUUUUGGUCUUUUGUUGCUUCAUUCUUUGCUUUGCUGGGCGUUUUGUCUAAUUCUUUGUUCGAAAUGCCAAGAACCUGGACAACUUGCACUCAUGACCCUCUACCGAUGACACCAGCAUUUUGGGAGGCUGAGGUGUGAGCAUCAUCUGAGGCCAGGAGUUCAAGACCAACCUGGGCAAUACAGCGAGACCCUGUCUCUAAAAAAAUGAAAAAAUUAGCCAGGUGUGGCAGCAUGUACUUGUAGGCCUAGCUACUAAGGGAAGAGAAUCACUUGAGCCCAGGAAUUAGAGGCUGCAGUGAACAAUCAUGCCACUGCACUCCAGCCUGGACGAGAGAGUGAGGCUGCAUCUCUAAAAAUAAAUAAAUGAAUAAAUAAACAAAAAGUCUUAUUGAGAAACAGGAAAAUAAAGGAGAAGAUAUGAAAAGAUAUAAAUAAAGGAUAAAUAAUAGAAAUAAAAGAUAUAAAUAAGCAGAAAAUAAAGGAGAAGAUAUAAAAGAAUCAGGAAAAUAAAGGAGAAGAUAUAAAAAUAAGACCAGGGCCACUUAAAAUUCAAAGGCAACAUAUGGCUGAAUGACAGAGCCAAGUCUGAGCAUAUGGCAAUCGCACUCAAGUUUGCCAACACAAGAAGGUUUUAUGCUAUCCAAGGAAAUCCAAUUUUGAAAAUGUAAUGAUGAUCUUACAUUAUUACAGGGUAGAAAAUUAAAGAGAAGUAUAUAAUCUUUAUAAAAUGACAAAUUGUUAGAUUUCAUUUGGCAUAAUAUAGUUCUUGUUAGCUUUAAAAUAUUUAAAAAUGUUCCAAGAGUAAACCUUUUUUUAAAAGAAUAAAAAUUCAAACAGCAUUCCAUGUUUAUCUUCUAAAGCCAUUAACUGAAACAAAUAGGAACAUUUUUCUUUCCAUACCUUCAGGGGGUCUCUGCAACUGGGAUUUCCGAUAAAACAACAUGUAGGCACUUUCUUUACCCU